This 387-nucleotide unclassified non-coding RNA is filed under the name uncultured Verrucomicrobiae bacterium. Its description in RNAcentral is "contains 16S-23S intergenic spacer region". The record is from RNAcentral. Lineage: Bacteria; Pseudomonadati; Verrucomicrobiota; Verrucomicrobiia.
UCCUCGUUUAGACGAGGCAGUCUGUCCAGAGUGCUCCCGGCUCUCGCCGGGGUGGCAACAGGACACAAGGGUUGCGCUCGUUGCGGGACUUAACCCAACAUCUCACGACACGAGCUGACGACAGCCAUGCAGCACCUGUGCAAGCUGGUCUUGCGACCUCGUUAGACUUUCAUCCUUCUACUACUUGCAUGUCAAGGCCAGGUAAGGUUCUUCGCGUUGCAUCGAAUUAAGCCACAUACUCCACCGCUUGUGCAGGCCCCCGUCAAUUUCUUUGAGUUUUAAUCUUGCGACCGUACUUCCCAGGCGGCGCGCUUAUCGCGUUGGCUUCGCCACAAAAGGGGUCGAUUCCUUUUACAGCAAGCGCGCACCGUUUACAGCCGGGACUAC